This 207-nucleotide ribosomal RNA is filed under the name uncultured bacterium. RNAcentral's name for it is "partial 16S ribosomal RNA". It matches the Rfam family "Bacterial small subunit ribosomal RNA", at positions 568 to 774 of the family's 1533-position model. The record is from RNAcentral.
CACGUAGGCGGAUUGAUUAGUUGGGGGUGAAAUCCCGGGGCUCAACCCCGGAACUGCCUUCAAUACUGUCAGUCUAGAGGUCGAGAGAGGUGAGUGGAAUUCCGAGUGUAGAGGUGAAAUUCGUAGAUAUUCGGAGGAACACCAGUGGCGAAGGCGGCUCACUGGCUCGAUUCUGACGCUGAGGUGCGAAAGCGUGGGGAGCAAACA